This 599-nucleotide ribosomal RNA is filed under the name Paroligoneurus sp. QL-2014. Its description in RNAcentral is "partial 12S ribosomal RNA". The record is from RNAcentral. Lineage: Eukaryota; Metazoa; Arthropoda; Insecta; Hymenoptera; Braconidae.
CCAAUUAAUUUAAAUUAAUAAAUUCAAUAAAACUUAUAAAAUAAUCUAAAUUAAAUUUUUAAUAUUUUUAUAUAAGUAAAAUAUUAUAAAAUAAAAAAAAAUUUAUUAAAUAAAAAUUAAAAAAUUUUUAAAAAACUAGGAUUAGAUACCCUACUAUUAAAUAAUAAAUAAAUAUUAUUAAAAUAAUAAAAAUUAAAUUUCUAAAUUUUAAAAAUUUGACGGUAUUUAAUAAAAUUAGAGGAAUUUAAAAUUUAAUUUGAUAAUAAACAAUAAUAUGAACUAUAAUUUAAUUUUUAUAUACUACUGUUAAAAAUAAAUUUUAAAAUUUCUUUUUUAAAAAUAAAAUUUAAUUAAAAAAUCAAGUCAUAAUUUAAAUUAUAUUAUAGAAUUAAGGAAUUACAAAAAAAAUUAAUAUUUUAAAAUAAAUUUAAAGUAAAUAAAGAAUCUAAAAGUAAAUUUAUAAAAUUAUUUAAAUUGAUAAUUUAAUUUAAAUAUGUACAUAUCGCCCGUCAUUCUUAAUACAUAAUAUAUAUAAUAUAUAAUAUAUUUUUAAGACAAGUCGUAACAAAGUAAAUAUACUGGAAAGUAAAUUUUGAAUU